Molecule: ribosomal RNA, 253 nt
Filed under: uncultured bacterium
Lineage: Bacteria
Description: partial 16S ribosomal RNA
Rfam family: Bacterial small subunit ribosomal RNA
Source: RNAcentral
GACGAACCGUGCGAGCGUUGUUCGGAAUCACUGGGCUUAAAGGGCGCGUAGGCGGGCUAUCAAGUCCGGGGUGAAAUCCUCCAGCUUAACUGGAGAACGGCCUCGGAUACUGAUGGCCUCGAGGGGGAUAGGGGCACACGGAACUGUGGGUGGAGCGGUGAAAUGCGUUGAUAUCCAUAGGAACUCCGGUGGCGAAAGCGGUGUGCUGGAUCGCUUCUGACGCUGAGGCGCGAAAGCCAGGGGAGCAAACGGG